Molecule: ribosomal RNA, 448 nt
Filed under: uncultured bacterium
Lineage: Bacteria
Description: bacterial SSU rRNA
Rfam family: Bacterial small subunit ribosomal RNA
Source: RNAcentral
AGCGAACGCUGGCGGCAGGCUUAACACAUGCAAGUCGAGCGGGCGUAGCAAUACGUCAGCGGCAGACGGGUGAGUAACGCGUGGGAACAUACCUUUUGGUUCGGAACAACACAGGGAAACUUGUGCUAAUACCGGAUAAGCCCUUACGGGGAAAGAUUUAUCGCCGAAAGAUUGGCCCGCGUCUGAUUAGCUAGUUGGUGAGGUAACGGCUCACCAAGGCGACGAUCAGUAGCUGGCUGAGAGGAUGAUCAGCCACAUUGGGACUGAGACACGGCCCAAACUCCUACGGGAGGCAGCAGUGGGGAAUAUUGGACAAUGGGCGCAAGCCUGAUCCAGCCAUGCCGCGUGAGUGAUGAAGGCCCUAGGGUUGUAAAGCUCUUUUGUGCGGGAAGAUAAUGACGGUACCGCAAGAAUAAGCCCCGGCUAACUUCGUGCCAGCCGCCGCAGU